AUCGAGCUGACGAGUCCUAAAUAGGACGAAACGCGCGUCCUGGAU
Schistosoma rodhaini is the source of this 45-nucleotide non-coding RNA. NCBI's taxonomy places the organism in Eukaryota, Metazoa, Platyhelminthes, Trematoda, Strigeidida, Schistosomatidae. The record is from Rfam.